GUGGCGCCAGUGGGCGUGGCGUAGUGCGAAGAGACGCGGUGCGCACGCGCGUGAGGGAUGUCGCGGGAUCUCUAUGAAGCACCAGAAUUAUCAGUGAAGAAUAUAUUAAAUGGCUCACGGGCUACUGUAAAGCAUAUUUCUAUCGCUUGAGAGUAAAACUGCUAGAACCAGUUCCUGUUUCUACAACAAGGUGUUCCUUUAGAGUCAAUGAGAACACACAAAACCUACAAAUUCAUGCAGGGGACAUCCUGAAGUUCUUGAAAAAGAAGAAACCUGAAGAUGCCUUCUGUGUUGUGGGAAUAACAAUGAUUGAUCUUUACCCAAGAGACUUGUGGAAUUUUGUCUUUGGACAGGCCUCUUUGACAGAUGGCACUGGUGAGGUGGAUUGAUGAUGAAUCUUCUGGCACACCUGGAGCAACUCCAGAACACAGUCGUGAGGAUAAUGGGAAUUUACUGAAACCCGUGGAAGGAAGCCUUUAAGGAAUGGAAAGAGUGGAUAAUAAAAUGCCUGACUGUUCUCCAAAAAUAAGGACCUUCAAAUAGGAGUGAUUGAAAUAAAUGACUACUUGCAUGUUAUGCUUUCAUUUGGGUGGAAUACUUCAUCAGAAUAAACUAUUGAUCUUGUGCUGUGUCAAAGUAACAGACUAGAACCUUCUUUCAAGUACCUGAAUUGAAAUGAAACUCAUUUUGAAUAAUAAAAACUCUAGAAACUCUUUAUCUUCUCA
Long non-coding RNA from Homo sapiens (human), 725 nucleotides. Ensembl annotates it as AMZ2 pseudogene 1. Its record names the gene AMZ2P1. NCBI's taxonomy places the organism in Eukaryota, Metazoa, Chordata, Mammalia, Primates, Hominidae. The record is from Ensembl.